GAUGAAGAACGUAGCGAAAUGCGAUAAGUAAUGUGAAUUGCAGAAUUCAGUGAAUCAUCGAAUCUUUGAACGCACAUUGUGCCCGCCAGUAUUCUGGCGGGCAUGCCUGUUCGAGCGUCAUUUCAACCAUCAAGCCCCCGGCUUGUGUUGGGGACCUGCGGCUGCCGCAGGCCCUGAAAACCAGUGGCGGGCUCGCUAGUCACUCCGAGCGUAGUAAUACAUCUCGCUCAGGGCGUGCUGCGGGUUCCGGCCGUUAAAAGCCUUAUUUACCCAAGGUUGACCUCGGAUCAGGUAGGAAGACCCGCUGAACUUAAGCAUAUCAAUAAGCGGAGGA
This 334-nucleotide unclassified non-coding RNA is filed under the name soil metagenome. RNAcentral's name for it is "partial contains 5.8S ribosomal RNA, internal transcribed spacer 2, and large subunit ribosomal RNA". The stretch from base 1 to 120 matches the Rfam family "5.8S ribosomal RNA", at positions 35 to 154 of the family's 154-position model. The record is from RNAcentral.